This 337-nucleotide unclassified non-coding RNA is filed under the name soil metagenome. RNAcentral describes it as "partial contains 5.8S ribosomal RNA, internal transcribed spacer 2, and large subunit ribosomal RNA". The stretch from base 1 to 120 matches the Rfam family "5.8S ribosomal RNA", at positions 35 to 154 of the family's 154-position model. The record is from RNAcentral.
GAUGAAGAACGUAGCGAAAUGCGAUAAGUAGUGUGAAUUGCAGAAUUCAGUGAAUCAUCGAAUCUUUGAACGCACAUUGCGCCCCUUGGUAUUCCAUGGGGCAUGCCUGUUCGAGCGUCAUUUGUACCCUCAAGCUUUGCUUGGUGUUGGGUGUUUGUCCCGCGUUGCGCGUGGACUCGCCUUAAAGCGAUUGGCAGCCGGCAUAUUGGCCUUGGAGCGCAGCACAUUUUGCGCUUCUGGUCAUGAAUGUUGGCGUCCAUUAAGCCUAUACAUUUGCUCUUGACCUCGGAUCAGGUAGGGAUACCCGCUGAACUUAAGCAUAUCAAUAAGCGGAGGA